Molecule: transfer RNA, 65 nt
Filed under: Pyrrhopeplus posthumus
Lineage: Eukaryota; Metazoa; Arthropoda; Insecta; Hemiptera; Pyrrhocoridae
Also listed under: 1 other name
Description: tRNA-Leu
Rfam family: tRNA
About the family: Transfer RNA (tRNA) molecules are approximately 80 nucleotides in length. Their secondary structure includes four short double-helical elements and three loops (D, anti-codon, and T loops).
Source: RNAcentral
UCUAAUAUGGCAGAAUAGUGCAAUGAAUUUAAGAUUCAUAUAUAAAGAUUCAUCUUUUAUUAGAA